GAUGAACGCUGGCGGCGUGCCUAAUACAUGCAAGUCGAGCGAACAGACGAGGAGCUUGCUCCUCUGACGUUAGCGGCGGACGGGUGAGUAACACGUGGAUAACCUACCUAUAAGACUGGGAUAACUUCGGGAAACCGGCGCUAAUACCGGAUAAUAUAUUGAACCGCAUGGUUCAAUAGUGAAAGACGGUUUUGCUGUCACUUAUAGAUGGAUCCGCGCCGCAUUAGCUAGUUGGUAAGGUAACGGCUUACCAAGGCAACGAUGCGUAGCCGACCUGAGAGGGUGAUCGGCCACACUGGAACUGAGACACGGUCCAGACUCCUACGGGAGGCAGCAGUAGGGAAUCUUCCGCAAUGGGCGAAAGCUUGACGGAGCAACGCCGCGUGAGUGAUGAAGGUCUUCGGAUCGUAAAACUCUGUUAUGAGGGAAGAACAAAUGUGUAAGUAACUAUGCACGUCUUGACGGUACCUAAUCAGAAAGCCACGGCUAACUACGUG
Molecule: ribosomal RNA, 497 nt
Filed under: uncultured bacterium
Lineage: Bacteria
Description: partial 16S ribosomal RNA
Rfam family: Bacterial small subunit ribosomal RNA
Source: RNAcentral